CGAGGAACAUGACCUUCGGCGGGGGAUAGCCGGCCCAACGGCCGGGUAAUACCGCGUACGACCACAUGGGGACAUCCCUGAGUGGUGAAAGCAGCAAUGCGCCGAUGGAGUGCCUCGCGGCCUAUCAGCUAGUUGGUGAGGUAACGGCUCACCAAGGCGACGACGGGUANCUGGUCUGAGAGGAUGGCCAGCCACAUUGGGACUGAGACACGGCCCAGACCUGUACGGGGAG
This 232-nucleotide ribosomal RNA is filed under the name uncultured bacterium. RNAcentral describes it as "partial 16S ribosomal RNA". It matches the Rfam family "Bacterial small subunit ribosomal RNA", at positions 118 to 347 of the family's 1533-position model. The record is from RNAcentral.